Molecule: long non-coding RNA, 522 nt
Filed under: Homo sapiens (human)
Lineage: Eukaryota; Metazoa; Chordata; Mammalia; Primates; Hominidae
Description: HSALNT0330844
Source: RNAcentral
AUGCCUUCUAGGGGAACAGUGUCGCUGGGCUGGGCGGUGGAGAGACACCUUUGGCACCAUCGUGCGAUCUCAUGCACCCUACCAGUGAUCAACCCUUUGAGUCUGGCUUAGCUCAGGCAGAAAUUGUAGUCUGCAAAAGAAACUGAGAAGAAGAGGGCAAGGAGAGUGUGGCAUCCCAAGACAUAAAGACUCAAAUCAAUGAGAGCAAGCAACUCUGUCAAAUUUCACCAGAAGUGAGGACUAAAUAUUGACUACCGAAUUUUGCAAGAAAGAUGAAGCAUUGGAAAGCACUGCAUAGCUCCAUGUUAUCAAUCAAUUAAUGUCUUCAGUCCUUUAAUGUCCUCUGGACAGCUGGGAUGCUUGGGAGAAGACUGUUGACAAGUCUUGUACGUGUGGAAGACACCAUUUUACUUACUUUCCCUUUAUUAUGGAAGGAACACAAGCCUAUCUUACAAAAAGAUACAUAGGACCCCGGAAGAACGAUUUUUAUUCUGAAUCUCAAUAAAAUAUUCUGUCACUUUG